RNAcentral lists this ribosomal RNA (615 nucleotides) under Vibrio parahaemolyticus. RNAcentral describes it as "partial 23S ribosomal RNA". It matches the Rfam family "Bacterial large subunit ribosomal RNA", at positions 1 to 662 of the family's 2925-position model. The record is from RNAcentral. Lineage: Bacteria; Pseudomonadati; Pseudomonadota; Gammaproteobacteria; Vibrionales; Vibrionaceae.
GUUGUAUGGUUAAGUGACUAAGCGUACACGGUGGAUGCCUUGGCAGUCAGAGGCGAUGAAAGACGUAGUAACUUGCGAUAAGCCCAGAUUAGGUAGUAACAACCAUUUGAGUCUGGGAUUUCUGAAUGGGGAAACCCACGUGCAUAAGCACGUAUCCUUACCUGAAUACAUAGGGUAAGGAGGCGAACCGGGGGAACUGAAACAUCUAAGUACCCCGAGGAAAAGAAAUCAACCGAGAUUCCGAAAGUAGCGGCGAGCGAAAUUGGACUAGCCCUUAAGCUUUACACGCGUUAGACGAACGGUCUGGAAAGUCCGACGAUACAGGGUGAUAGUCCCGUAGUUGACGACGUGUGUUCAGUGAAAUCGAGUAGGGCGGGACACGUGAUAUCCUGUCUGAAUAUGGGGGGACCAUCCUCCAAGGCUAAAUACUACUGACUGACCGAUAGUGAACCAGUACCGUGAGGGAAAGGCGAAAAGAACCCCUGUGAGGGGAGUGAAAUAGAACCUGAAACCGUGUACGUACAAGCAGUAGGAGCAGGCUUUGUCCUGUGACUGCGUACCUUUUGUAUAAUGGGUCAGCGACUUAUAUUCAGUGGCAAGGUUAACCAUCUAGGG